AGACAGUUCGGUCCCUAUCCAUCGCGGGCGCAAGAAACUUGAAGGGGGCUGCUCCUAGUACGAGAGGACCGGAGUGGACGAACCGCUGGUGUACCAAUUAUCCUGCCAAGGGUACAGUUGGGUAGCUACGUUCGGGACGGAUAAACGCUGAAAGCAUCUAAGCGUGAAACCAGCCUUGAGAUGAGGUUUCUCAUAGCAUAAGCUAGUAAGAUCCCAUGUAGACGACAUGGUUGAUAGGCCAGGUGUGGAAGAGCCGUGAGGUUUGGAGCUGACUGGUACUAAUAGAUCGAGGGCUUUACUUAAACA
This 306-nucleotide ribosomal RNA is filed under the name Veillonella dispar. Its description in RNAcentral is "partial 23S ribosomal RNA". It matches the Rfam family "Bacterial large subunit ribosomal RNA", at positions 2624 to 2925 of the family's 2925-position model. Lineage: Bacteria; Bacillati; Bacillota; Negativicutes; Veillonellales; Veillonellaceae. The record is from RNAcentral.